AACGUGUCGCAGAUUCCGAGAGGUCUGUGUCUCCCGGCAGCUGGCUCGGUCCGGCUGGGGUAUCGAUCACUUGACCGGCUGGGGUAUCGAUCACUUGACCGGCAUGACGCUGGAAACACGGCGUCAGAUCUCACGCGCUCCGGCGGCGCCGCAGUGGUUAAAGCUCGUGCGUCAGCGCGUGGGGGGGGAGCGCGCUGGCUCGAGCCGGCCCGGUGCUGGCGAGGGGAGGGGAGCCGCACGCGCAGUGCGCACGGACGCGCGGGGCUCGCAGUAGUGAGAGGAGCGGAGCGGCGGCUUGUGUGCAGUCGGUGCAGAGCUCGGGUCCCGACCCCCCGGACCACGCAUCCCCAGAACCCGCGCCGAACCGCGCCGCGGAGAGGAGCCGCCGGCCAGUGUCCGUGGACUCGAGCAGAGGCUCCGGCUCGGGGCUGGAGCGAUGCGCCGGUGAGACUCGGCGCUGGGCUGCGGAUUCGCCGGGGACGAUGGCGACCUCGGGGCCGGUCUGCUGAUGGACAGAGAUCGCUGAGAGAGAGACGCACACACACCGCCACACACGCAGGUACCCGCCGCUCAGCUCUGUUCCCAUGUAAGGACACGUCUUCCCAGGAAGGUGCUGGAAUGCCCUGAACACGGUUGAGAUUGUUUAGAGUGUGGAACGUGUCAUUUAACUCCUAUCCAGUAAUGCGUUUUAAUUAUAACCUCUGCGUGCGCGCUGGAAGCUUUAAAACAAUCUCUUCCCCCCCCCCAACCAACCACCCUCACGUUUUUUUCCACCCAACCGCAAAAUAAACAGUAAACGAUUUUCAGGCUUCACGUGACCGCCCGCUCUCUAUUUCCCAAUCACAAAUCCACCUCACUUCCGCCAACGCCCCCUUCCCCCGUCCCUAUCUGCCCCCUUAUGAAUAUUCAUGAUAGAGCGCCUCCUUGCCCAAUCAGCGCCGGCCCCCUUAUUAAUAUUGAUUAGGCGCCUGCGCUCUUGUGACGCUGGCUGCCUUGCUGCCGCCGGGCAGCCAAUCACGUCCCGGCUCUAAGCUGCGGUCCCUCAUGAAUAU
Molecule: long non-coding RNA, 1052 nt
Filed under: Lepisosteus oculatus (spotted gar)
Lineage: Eukaryota; Metazoa; Chordata; Actinopteri; Semionotiformes; Lepisosteidae
Description: lncRNA (ENSLOCG00000022902.1)
Source: RNAcentral